GAUGAACGCUGGCGGCGUGCCUAAUACAUGCAAGUCGAGCGAAUGGAUUAAGAGCUUGCUCUUAUGAAGUUAGCGGCGGACGGGUGAGUAACACGUGGGUAACCUGCCCAUAAGACUGGGAUAACUCCGGGAAACCGGGGCUAAUACCGGAUAACAUUUUGAACCGCAUGGUUCGAGAUUGAAAGGCGGCUUCGGCUGUCACUUAUGGAUGGACCCGCGUCGCAUUAGCUAGUUGGUGAGGUAACGGCUCAACAAGGCAACGAUGCGUAGCCGAGCUGAGAGGGUGAUCGGCCACGCUGGGACUGAGACGCGGACGACACUCCUACGGGAGGCAGCAGUAGGGAAUCUGCCGCAAUGGACGAAAGUCUGACGGAGCAACGCCGCGUGAGUGAUGAAGGCUUUAGGGUCGUAAAACUCUGUUGUUAGGGAAGAACAAGUGCUAGUUGAAUAAGCUGGCACCUUGACGGUACCUAACCAGAAAGCCACGGCUAACUACGUGCCAGCCGCCGCGGUAA
RNAcentral lists this ribosomal RNA (515 nucleotides) under uncultured bacterium. RNAcentral's name for it is "partial 16S ribosomal RNA". It matches the Rfam family "Bacterial small subunit ribosomal RNA", at positions 28 to 523 of the family's 1533-position model. The record is from RNAcentral.